This 254-nucleotide ribosomal RNA is filed under the name uncultured bacterium. RNAcentral's name for it is "partial 16S ribosomal RNA". It matches the Rfam family "Bacterial small subunit ribosomal RNA", at positions 524 to 776 of the family's 1533-position model. The record is from RNAcentral.
CACGGGGGGAGCAAGCGUUGUUCGGAUUCAUUGGGCGUAAAAGGCUUGUAGGUGGCCACGUCAAGUCGGAUGUGAAAUCUCCCGGCUCAACUGGGAGGGGUCAUUCGAUACUGGCGGGCUCGAGGCCGGUAGGGGGAAGCGGAAUUCCCGGUGUAGUGGUGGAAUGCGUAGAUAUCGGGAGGAACACCAGUGGCGAAGGCGGCUUCCUGGACCGGUUCUGACACUGAGGAGCGAAAGCGUGGGGAGCGAACAGG